CGCAAGGGUGGCAGGAGGGGCAGGUGUGGCCCGAGGCGGCCCGGGAGCCAUUAGUAAAUGCGCCACCCGAGCCACCGGGCCCGCCCAAAGGCUGACCUCCCGCCCGCUCCUUCCGGUCGCGUUCUGGGGCCGACUCCUGGGCCCAGGCCUCGGCCCCGCUGCCCGCGCACCCGGACAGCUUCUCUCUGCUCAAGUUCAUGAAGGGCCGGGCCGCUCGGCAGCUUUCCGGGCCCCGUCUCCAGGCCGAGAGUGCUCCGCCGCCCAACCGGGCCUUCCCCCCACGGACCGUCCGUCCCGCGGCUUACCGAAAGAGUGGAGGUUCUGGAUAGCGGACAUACGAUACGAUUCCUUUUCCUCGGUGGAAACGGCCUGCGGAAGGCGGCGGCGGGAGAAGGCGGGCGGGGGGGACGGAGCGUCGGGAAGCGAGGGGGCUCGAGGGGGAGGCUGCUGAGUCCUCGGCGGCGGCUCAGUGACUGGGGCGGAGGGGCGGCGCCUGUAUUCACUUAUAUAGCCGCCCCUGUGACGCCAGCGCGUUGCACUCACGUCCCGGCCCCACCCACGGCGUCGUGCCCUGAGCGCCCAAGCGCCGCCUCUUCCAAUUGGUUCGGGGGCGGAGAUGCGGCGCGGCGCUUGCGCAGGAGCUCAGUGCUGCAGGAGGGCGUCCUCCUGGCUCUCGGAGAGCUGGAAGGGGGAGGGAAAGCUUAGUCAGUCUAGGCGCCUGCGCAGUGCGGAAGGAAGGUGUCUGGGCUGCGCAGAAAAUUGGCGGAGGUUUCGGGCGCGCCUGCGCACUAUGUUCUCUGGCACGUUCCAUCCUCUUGACUCUGUUGCGGCGUUACCUGCUCCAGGAAGGAUUGUUCCUGGGGGUUAUUGGCACUCCUUAGAGGGGAUUUAGCUGCCGAGCGUCCCGCACAUGACAGAUGCCCCCUAUCUCAUACCCACCCACCUACCCACCGGGUCACACACUUACUCCCACUUUCUUUGCAGAUUUACGGCGGCACCUUUAUUUAAUCAACCUAGAAUAAUAUAACCCAAACCCUAACUUUGGCAUUUAGAUUAAUUUAUCAUUUAGAUGAAUCUAAUCUAAAAAUGGAUUAGUCUGUAAAUUUACCAUUUAGAUAAUCUAAGGAAAGGACACCUAGCUCAUUAGCACGAGGCCAAGAGAGAGUAAUGCUGGUUCUGGGGGACCGAGAAGAAUUCAGGCGCCUGAAGGAUGUCCUUUGUGUCUUACAAAUCGUGUGUGGUGGAGCCUUCUCGGAGCGUAGAUGAAUAUUUCCUUCAAAUCAGUCAACCCUUCUUGUUCUUUGCAUUUAUUAAUGGAAACGCUCUCCGCUGCAGGGGUGAAAAGAGUGGUUUUAGACGCCACAGGCCUCCAGGGGCCAGGCAGGAAGCGGGGACAUGGGCGUCGAUGACAUGGGCGUCCCAGUCUCACAUCUCCCCAGUCUGCGAAGCUGAGUGCCCUCCUGCCCUCCACCUGGGAGCCUCGGCACUCACAGACCUGGCUCUGCCUGAAAGGGGUUUGGGGCGACAGUGGCUGCAUAGGUGGCAUGCACUCUAUUUCUACUGGAUGGCGCUGCUCUAGACGAUUGUGGACUGAAGAAUAUCGCCGACCUCAUCCUUUGCCCCAAACAGCUUAGUGAUCGUCCCCUCUUACCUGCAGCCGGGACUCUUCUUGAGCGGAAUUCGGGGCAGGAAGAUUUUUUCAUUUUGUUGAGCACCCAUGGCUUGCUGGGUCCUGUGCGAGGUAUAUCCCACCCCGGUCCCACGGAAUCCUGACGAAGCAGGGUCCUCAGCCCAUCUGCAGGUGAGGCGGCCGGCUUGGACCAGGACUUGGGCUGGGGUGGCGGUGGAUCUCUUCCUGCCGGGCAGCAUGGCCACCCGGGAGCGACCAGAUUCCCCCGAGGCACCUCUGGGGUGAUUCUGCCCUUGUAAGGGGUCAGCCAUUUCCUUGAUGGGGCCAGCACCAUGUGUGUGUUCCUUUCUUCCUUCCCAAAUGCUCCCGGAGAACUUCCUGCGUAGCCGCCCAGGCCCAGGGGAACCAUCUCAGUCCCUACAGGAGCCUAUAGGGGAGCCCUACAGGUGUGAGUGGGGUUUUGAGUCAAGGGACCAUUUGAGAUGCUCUCCUGCUAGUUGUCUGCUCUGUGUCCUCAGGAAGCUUGGAUAAUCUCUCCGAGCCUGUUUCCUUUCCUGUAUAUAUCAGGAGAAAACCCACUGGAUUUACUAUCCAUAACCCCCCAGCCUCCCUUCUAAGGAGAGCUGCUUCAGGUGCCCCUAGGGGCCUCAGCUGGCUUGGGGAAGAGCCUGGGUAGAACUAAGAUGCUGGAGGAGGCUGGAGACCCUGGGGGAGACCUGAGCUGAGAAGGAGGCACAGCCAGUGAGGCUGGGGGCGAUGAAACUCACCGCAGUUGAUGGGGACAGAAGCAGCCAGAGGAGCUGGGAGGAACGACACAUCUCCGGGGUCUUAGGGAGGGAAACCUUGUGCGCUGUGUUCUAUCUGCCCGUCCUCACUGCUCCUGCGAAUCUUUAGUAAAUUAUUGAUAGCUCACUGGUGCUUUUGGGGAGAGGGUUUUCUUUCAAGGACACAGUGAGGUUUGGAGUUCUGUAUCAAGACUGGCCAGGGCUGCUCAUGGGGGCCCUGUGACACCUUGGCUAGUUUAUAGGGAGUCCAUGGCUGGUCGCAGACCUCUUAUUUAUUAUCUGCUUCCAAGUGCCGGGCUCGGCGUUAAGCAAUUUCCAUUUGCCUCUUUGAAUCCUCCCAAUACCCCACCAAGUGGGAAUAGCUAUUCUCUUUUACAGACAAGGAUACAGAAGCUUAGAGUGGUGGAAUUAUUUUUGCAAGAUCAUAGCUAGUAAGUUGCAGGGCUGGAUUCAAGCCCAGAGCCUGUGCUCGUAACCAUGAAGAGGCACCCGCCCUGGAGGGCUGUCGGUGCCUGGCCCGUGUGCCCCACAGCACCCCGGAGUCACUGCUGGCUUCUCUCCCCACAGCUAGUAGGGGCACUCAGGGCAGGGUGGCCUGGCGUGGCCCUUGAGUGAACCCACUUCCUUCAGAUCUUUUGGUAUCUCUAUGUUUUAUUUAUUUUAUAUUAUUUUAUUUUUAUUUUAUUUUAAAAUAACGAUAUUUCUCUCCAUUGUAAAAUAAUAUCUUCUUAUUGCAUAAAAAUUUAAAAAGUAUGAAAAUGACCAAAAAAAAUCACUGGUUAAAUCAGUUACCACCUAGGGAUGACCAAAACCUGUUUUGGCGUGCUUCCCUCUGUUUAUGUGGAUAUUUAUGAAGCUGUCGACUGCUUUGUGCCAUGUUAGCCUGUACGCAGCCUUCAGCACUGCUUCGAGUUCUCCCCAAAGAGUCCGUUCUUACUAAAUACGCGUGAGUGAUGUAAGCUUUACCCAGUGACCCCAGAAGGAGGUGGGGGAGGGCAUUUACAACUCUCUCCCCCAACACAGCUCAAAAGUCUUAGCAGGCUCAGACCCCUCCUGACCUCUCAGAUGGCAUCUCUUUCUCCUCUGGGAUCUGCGUUUCCCGGCUCCUUCAUCUCCUCUUUUGAUCCUAUCCUAGUUUCAGACCUUAAACUCUUCUCCCCUCAGUUUUGCAGUUCAGCUCUGCCCCAUGCCUCCCCAAAAGUGUACAGCCAAGAUCUAAUAUCAAACCUGAAGUGAACGAUCACCGUUGUGCAGCCAAUCUAUGACACUGGGUGUAAUGGAAGAAAGUAGGAACUUUAUUGUGAAACGCUGAGCAGGGAGAAUGGGUGCCUGAACUCCGUGAAAAACUGCAAGCAUGGGUUUUUUUUAAAGAUUGCCUCCUGAGCUAAGAUCUGUUGCCAAUCUUCUUUUUUUCCCCUCUUUUCUUCUUCUUCUCCCAAAGGCCCCUCAGUAUGUAGUUGUAUAUUCUAGUUUCAGGUCCUUCUGAUUGUGCUCUGUGGGAUGCCACCUCAGCAUGGCCUGACAGCAGUGUGAGGUCCACACCCAGGAUCCGAAUCAGUGAAACCCUGGGGCGCGAAAGCAGAGCGUGUGAACUUAACCACUCAGCCACGGGGCUGGCCCCUGGGUUUUUAUUUGGGGUUUUAGGCAGAGGAGGGGGAGCAUGUGGCCUUGGGGGCUAAAGUUCUAAGAGUCCUCUGCACAGGCGUGAAUGUCUGUUCUAUGUGUUGCAUGGGGUGGAGUUUUAGUCUGUGAUGUCUAACGUCUACAAGCAGUCAUUUUAGCUUCUCAAUGCUCCUCCAAGAUGCUGAGUCAGGCGGGGGAGCUGUCUGGAAGUUCCUCUAUUAUCACUGGUCCUCUGCUGUUCUGCAAGGCAAGCUCAGAAACUUUGGUUAUUUUGUUUCCCACGUUAACCUUGUGGGUACAAGGCAGUUUCACCCUGACCCAGGGAAAUUUUAACUCCUUCACCCUCAGUUUCAGAUCCAUCUCCACUGGGCCAACAAGGGAUCUGCCAGCUUGUAGGACCCCUGGAGCAGAGAUACAGAGAUGCGGUUAGAGACAUCAAAAUGUUUUUACUAUUACUGCACACUUAAACAGUGUAUUUUGUUUGGGAUCAAAUGCUACAAACUGGUGCAUGACGUGCUUUUUGUCAUGUGAUAGAGAAUGGAGUAUGCUCCUGUUAUAUAAGAAAAGGGAUAUAUAUAUAUAUAUGUGUGUGUGUGUGUGUGUGUGUGUGUGUGUGUGUGUGUGUGUGUGUGUGUGUUUAGUCUAAAACAACAAGGUACCUGUAAGGAGAAGGAGGAGACAGGGUGGAGAGGACAGGGAUAAAAACUGAAUUUUCUUGACUUUGGCUUGUUUUGCAGAUUUGGUUUUGGAACCAUGCACAGUAGUCCCCCUGUAUCUGUGGGGGAUACCUUCCAAGACCCCCAGUGGAUGCUUGUAACCGUGGAUAGUAUUGAAUUCUAUACAUACUCUGUUUUUUCCUUUACAGAUAUAUCUGUUAUAAAGUUUGAUUUAUAAAUUAGGCACAGUGAGAGAUUAACAACAAUAACUAAUAAUAAAAUAGAACAAUUAUAACAAUAUACUGUAAUAAAAGUUAUCAUAGAUCUGAGCUAUCUCAACAUAGAUUUUCUUUUUAAAGAUUGUCCCUGAGGUAACAUCUGUUGCCAGUCUUCUUUUUUUCCUUCUUCUUCUCCUCAAAGCCCCUCAGUAGGUAGUCGUAUAUUCUAGCUGUGGGUCCUUCUGGUUGUGGCAUGUGGGACGCUGCCUCAGCAUGGCCUGAUGAGCGGUGCCAUGUCUACGCCUGGGAUCCGAACCAGCAAAACCCUGGGCCUCCAAAGCAGAGCGCGUGAACUUAACCACUCGGCCACGGGGCUGGCCCCAGCAUAGAUUUUUUUCCCUUUCCUUAUUAAGACAAGAGCUUUCAGCUUUUCACUUACAGGAAGCACUUCCUCUUUGGCACAUCUGAAUUGCCAGCAUCACUACUGUUGCACUUUGGGGCCAUCAUUAAGUAAAACAAAGGUCACCUGAGCACAAGUGCUGCGGUGCCCCAACAGCUGAUCUGACAACUGUGGGCAGGCAGCAGUUACAGUGCGGGUACACUGGACAGAGGGAUGAUUCACAUCCCAGACAGGAAGGAGCGAGAUUUAACCAGGCUACUCAGAAUGCGGCACAAUUUAAAGCUUAUGAGUUGUUUAUUUCUGGAAUCUUUUAUUUAAUAUUUUUAGACUGUGGUUGACCAGGAAUAACUGAAACCAUGGAAAGUGAAACUGCAGAUAAGAGUGGACUCCUGUAAAUAUCUUACAUAAUCACAGGGGUAAUAACUGCAAUGGGUUGAAACACAUCAAAGAUGCUUAUAUCAAAUACGUUUGAAUUCACAAGUUUAUAACAAUUUAAAAAAUCCUUACUAGUCGUCUUUCUGGGAUGCUAGAGAAUUAUCUCCUCACACUGAAAACUGGUAAAUAAAAGGAAAUUAUUUCCUUACCUUUCCUGUAAGAACUUGCCUCAGUGGAACCAAAUUGUAGGUGUGUGUGUAUUGGGGAGGGGCAUGGUUCUCUUUAUAGAAAUAUUCCAGGUAAUGAAUGAAGAAGGAAUGAUACAGGGGCCUGCCCAGUGGUGUAGUGGUUAAGCUUGCAUGCUCUGCUUCAGCCUCCCACAGUUGGCAGGUUUAGUUCCCCUACGCACAGCUCCUCAAGCCAUCCUGUGCCAUCCCACGUACAAACUGGGGAAGACUGGCACAGAUGUUAGCUCAGGGGCAAUCUUUCUCAAGCAAAAAGAGCAAGAUUGGCAAGAGCUGUUAGCUCAGGGCCAAUUUUCCUCACCAAAAAAAUUAAAAAAAAAAAAAGGAAUGAUACACUUAGAAUAUCACCAUUUUGUAACCCCUAAUCAAUGAAUGGAUCCGGGCAUUGAUCAUCAAUGGCUACUGAAGUCACCAAAAGACAAACAACACAUCUCUCCAGCACCACACACGAAUUGCCCCUGCUGAGAAAGAGGAGGAAACCCUGAAUCUGGCCAAGACUUUAGGUCUCACUAGUAGGUUUCAGACAAUACAGAGGACAGAGGAACAUGUUAAAUUACACCAUGGGAAUGCAGUCAGCCAAGUCCAGACUGGAACCUCUACAAGACCAAUGAUCUUUUCUACAACAAAUAAAUUGGAAGGGGAAAGAAAACAGAGGGAAGCGGUACCUGUAGUUUGAAAGACUUAAGAUACAUACAACUAAUUACUUUGUGUGGACUUUGUGUGAAUCUUGAAUUAAAAAAAAAUAACAAUUGUCAUUUAUAAAAGAUUUUGAAAUUUAAAUACUGCCCAGAUAUUUGAUUAUAUUAAGUGUGAUAUUGUGAUAUAAUAAGAAAUAUAUGUGGUCUCUGCCCCCAGUUCCUGGCACAGAGCCUCUAAAAUCCUUGUAAUUUCCUGAGUGACAGAGGUGCUAGGAGCAUCUUUUAUUAUAUAAUGUUUGGUCUUAGACCCUAGUUCCUGAAACAAGAGCUUCUAAGACUCUUGGAAUCUCUGGAGUGACGGUGUCUUCUGUAUGCUAAUGAGAUGGCUGGCGGCUGGGAGCCCCUCGGGAGCUUCAGGAUGGGGGCUGGUUGGUAAGGAAACAAACCGUGUGUUAGAGGGCUGGAACUUGCCAUCCCACCCCCUGACCUCCUCCGGGAGAGGAGAGAGGAUGGAGAGUGAGUCAGUCGCCAGCUGCCAGUGAUUUAAUCAGCCACACCUACAUAAUGGAACCUUCAUAAAAACUUUAAACAGUGGGGUUCAGGGGAGCCUGCUCGUUGGUGAACACAUUUGUCUGCUGGGAGAGUGGUGCAUCUCACCUCCACGGGGACAGAAGCUCCUGAGCUUAGGACCCUUCCAGAACUUGUACUGUGUACCUCUUCAUCUCACUGCUCACCUGUAUCCUUUAUCACAUCCUUUAGAAUGAACUAACUGGUAAUACUAAGUAAAGUGCUUCUCUGAGUUCUUUGAGCCAUGACAGCAAAUGACCAAGCCCGAGGAGGGGUUGUGGGAACUCUUGAUUUGCAGCCAAGUUGGACAGAUCUGUGGGUAACCUGGGGACCCACGACUUGUGACUGAUGUCUGAAGUGGGGGCUAGUCUUGUGGGACUGAGCCCUUAACCUGUGGGGUUUGUGCUAACUUUGGGGUAGUUCGUGUCAGAACUGGUUGGUGUGGAAAACCCACACAUUUGGUGUCAGAAGGUUGUGAGUUGAGAAACAACUUUCUUUUAUUAAGGAAUUAUUAUUAAUUAUUUUAGUUGUGAUAAUUAGAUGUGGUUAUGCUAAAGAAGAAAAGUUCUUCUCUGCUAGCCACAUAGUGAAAUAUGUAUGGAUAAAAUGCUAUGAUGCUUGGCCUUUGUUUGAAAACAAUAUGUAGGAGGAGGGAGGAGGGGGUGGGGUGAUAGAUUGAGACUAUCCAUGAGUUCAUAAUUGUUGACUUUGGGGUGAUGGGUGCCUGGGGGUCUAUUAUAUCAUUUUUUCUACUUUGAUGCAUGCUUUAAAAUUUCUAUAAUAAAAGAGUGACAAACGUAUGUCUUGAGCCUCUUACUGUGCUGAUAAACAGAAUUCUACAACCGCAUUUUUAAUGGCUACCUAAUUGUCCUUUGUCUUGAUGUAGCAUAAACAACGUAACCAGUCUCCUUUUGUUGGGCAUCUAAAUCAGCUCCAAUCUUCUGUUCUCGUCAACAGCACUGAAUGAAUAUCCUUGUGGAUAAUUCAACACGUAAGUGAUACUGAACCAGGAUCGUUUUGCCUGAUGCACAGUCAUGCCAGUUACUGAGACGAGGAGUUUGCAGCAGAGAGAGGUUUAUUCACAAGGCAGCCAAGCGAGGAGAUGGGAGAACCAAUCUCAAACCCACUUCCCUGAAAAAUGGGGAUAAGGGAUAUUUAUGGGAUAAAGGGGUGGGGUGGUCUGAAGUGUGGGAACAGAUGAUUGGAGAUGAGGAGAAGUGAGGUAAUUGACGAUCUGUGCAAGCGUAGUCAGACUUCACAGCUCUUCAUAGGACCCGUUCAUAAAAUGGCGGUGUUACCAUGAUCUGAGGGUGGAGUUUUUGGCUCCUUGACGUCAAAGGGUCACCUGUCAGUCAUCCACGCAGGCCCAGUGGAUGAGUCAGUGGUCUUAACCAGCCUGCACUGCACAAGGAGUCAACUCUCAGUUCCUGAAAAACUUAGUCACUCAUUACCAUGGUGACCCAAGUGUCAGAGACGUUAUCUGUGGAGUGGGUUUUGGUAAUGCGUUAACUACUUGUGCAAACAGACAACUAACUGAGUAUAGUUAAAGCAGGUUGGCCCCCAGUUUUGCACGUCUCUCAGUAUUUCUUAGGAUAAAUUCCUCUAAGUGGAUUUUCUGAGUCAACAGGUAAGUGUAUCUCUAAGGUGUUUGCCAAACUGCCCUGCAGAGACAAAUUGGUUCACAUUCCCUCCAGCAGCCCGGGAAAGGGAGGUCCUUACUCCUCUCUCCCAGUGACUUCUCAUACUCUUUUCUCCCUGGGCUUCCGUGAUCGUCUGUCGGCCUCACAAAUCCUCAUUCAUCAUAUUUAAUUGUCACAUUAACCCAACGAGGCAGGUACUUUUAUUAUCAUCAUUUUCUAGUAGAGAUGGAGGCUCAGAAAGGGCAAGUAACCAGCCCAAGGUCACAGAGCUCUAGUAAGAUGUGACUGGCUCACAUAGCUGCCUGAUGGAGGACCUGGCCUGGGAACUACUGGCUGUAUCAAUGGGCACCUCUCCCUUUGCCUUCUCUGCUGGCUCCCCUUCUUUCUCUGAACUCCUCCGUGGUCCCAAACUUCUGCUUCCUGCUCUCUUGGGUCUCUCAUUCUUUUCUUCUGUGGCAAAUUCAUUCCCCACCAGGUCUAUGAAAAUAGCUCCUAAAUUUGCACCUCGGUUCAGUUUAGUUCUCACGAGUUUGUAUUUCCAGGUCUGUCUCUGGAGCGUGUGUCAGAAUCACAGUGGCCUAGGGAACCAGAAACAUCUCUGGGGCAAAGUUCGGGACAUGGGUGGUGAUGAUGGUUGCACAACGAUGUGAAUAUACUUGAACUAUACACUUAAAAAUGGUUAACAUGGUGAAUUUUAUGUAUGUGUAUUUUGCCACCAUAAAACACACACAGAUACCAAGUGUGUAAGUUAACAACGUGUUUAAGAAACAUCCCAAAUUUAGCAUGCCCUAGACUGGGCACCUAAUGUCCCCUCCCUGCCCAAACUGUCCCAUCCUCAGCCUUCCCAUCACAGCUGAUGGCAGAUCCAUCCCCUGGAGACAGAACAUUUGACGCUUCUCUUCUUUUCCACCCCACAUCCAAUUGGUUAGAAACCCCAGGGGUCUCUCUACACGAUAUAGCCAGAGUCUGACCAUGGCUCACCCCUCCUUGGCUCCCACCCAGGUCCAAGCCACCGUCAUCUCUGGCCUGGAUUAUUGCAAUAGCCCACGAUGGGUCUCCUGGCUUUGGCUCCAGCUCCCUGGCGUCUGGUCCGUACACAGCAGCCGAGGGAGUGCAUUGGAAUGUAAGUCACAUCAUGGCACUCCUCUGCUCAAAGGUGAAAGCCGGUCUCCACUGUGUUCUGUGAGGCCUCCGUGAUGAAUCCGUUACCUCUCUGAGCUCACCUCUGUUCCUCUAUCCUUCACCUCUACUCCAGCCACACCAGCUCUCUUGCUGGGCCUAGAACAUGCCAGCAAUGCUCCCACUUUGGGGUCUGGACGCUUCUCCCCAGAUAUUCGCAUGGCUUUCUUUCCCAAAGUUUUGUAGGCAAGGAAAACGUAAUUUUCCCUCUGCCCUUCUAAGUUUUUAGCUGAGACCGCUGCAAUCAAAGACAGAUUGACAAGAGAAAGAAAAACAGAAGUUUAUUAACAUGUAUACCUCAUGGAAACAUGGGAACACUCAGGACAAAUGAGGGACUCCUCGAGGCGGCUUAGAAUUCAGGCUGAAAUCCACCAUAAGAGGGAAAGGGAGCGGGAAAGAAAGGCCUCCUAGGGGACAGUAAAUGACUUUCAGGAAAGCACAGCUGGGAGGUGUGACGGUUGAGACAAAGUUUGGCUGUGGUGUCACUUCCACUCUCCUCUCCUGUGAUGAGUCAGUCUUCGUGGGUGAUGAGGCCCCCUCCCGGGAGGGGGUUUAUGACAGCUGAGUUCCUCCUGGAGAACCUGUCUUUAGGCAGAAAAGAGGAAUUUAGAGAAAGCCUCUCCCCGCAUUUGCUGUUUUUCAAGUGCCUACAGCUCAAAAUAAUCACCACAGGAAAGCAGUGGAUUUUGGGGUGCACGUCCUGCUACGGGUCCAUCUCGAGGUUCUGCUUAAAUGCCCCCUCUGUCCCAAGGCCUUUCCUGACCCGAUUUUAAAUGGUGGCCCUGCCCAGGCCUCUCACCCCUUUCCCUGUGUUACCGCUCCUUUUCCCAUAGUACCUUCUAGCAUGCCAUGUCAUUUACUUAUUAGGGCUGUUACGUAACGUCUGUCUCCCCCACUGCCAUCUAACACCACGUACUGCUGUAUGCCAAACCAGCCAGCACAGGGCCCGGCACAGAGUCCGGGCUCAGUAAACACAAGUCAAAGGCGUGUGUGGGUUAAAGUGCUUUAUUUACGACAAAGUCUGUACACACGUGAGCAAUUGCUCUUGCUUCCACUUUAAUAGCUUAUUAUUUCCAGUGGCCGAAGGACGUCUUCCCCAGGAUGUCCUGAUAGCGACUCCAGCCAGGGCCGGGUCUCCUGCUUGGCCCUGGCUUGUCCAGCUCUGCGGGUAGCGCCACCAUCAGACUGCUUGUCCUCCCUCUGUUCUCUUUCCCCAGCACCUUCUCCCUCUCCCCGAAACGUCUCCCAUGUGCCCUGUCCACUCCCCUCCAGCUAUGGUGCUGCUUCUUGAAGAGAUGCCUGGUCAAGCUGCGCCCUUUCUCAAAGACCUUUGCCGGCUCCCCAUUGCGUAAGAUUUACGUACAAACUCCCUGGACUGGGCUCAGACUUGCCCGCGAGGCUCCCGAAUGACCUUUCCUUCUCUGCUUUACAUGUGACGGAGGCUCGGGACAAACUGGAUUCCUUAGAACGAUGUUUUUGCGCCUCCAUGCCGUUGCUUAGGCUGACCCCUCUACCUGGAGGGCCCUCCUGCAUCUUUGCUUGCCCCAAGUCAGGCCCGGCGUCAGCAUCACCCGCAGCCGAAGCCUUUCCUGAGUAUGUUCUACGGGCACGCCCCCUCCGUCUUCUGGAACCUUGUGCAUGAUCUUCUAUUCUGGUGGGUGUCUGGUGCUGACUUGAGUUUUGGAUCAUGUCGUUUGGAGGCCACCCUGCCGGACACGGGCUGAGCUGUGCCGCGUUCUUUUCUAUAUCCCCUGAUAGUCGCAGCACAGCGCCCACUUUCCUUCAAGCCAAGUGUUACUUCGAAUUUCAGGCCAAACGCGGAGCCACAGAAUAGGCACAUUUCCUGCAGUGGCCACAAGAUGGCAGCACAGACCGCGCUUCGGGACAGACGCGGCCUCUAGUUCCUCCCGCCUUCCCAGAGGCCGCAGCCCUAAGAGGCCCACUCUGAGGUCCCGUUUCCGAGAGAGACCCGGGUGGGAUGGACGGAGCACUGGGCAGAGAGUCGGCAGGUUUGGACGCCGGGUCUGCAUUGCGACUUUGGGCGAGUGUCGUCUGUGUACCACGAAAGGGCGGUCACAGAGCCCAGCUCCUGGCUCCAGCCCGUGAAGAUUCCUCUCCCCGUCCUCCUCCGCGGGCCCUUGCCGGUUUCCCGAAGGCGCAGUGAUGGAUGGUCGCGCUGACAUCUGCCGUUCCCCACCUUCUCUCUCUUUCUGCGAUUAUGUGUGGCCGAGAAGAGGGAGAAGGUGGGGUCCCUGGGGCCCCAGAAGGUCCUGCCUCCGUCUCCAGGCCCACUUGUCCAUCCUUAUCGAGGCAGGACAAGCCCCAUCCAGGCAGGAAAAAAACGUCAUGUUCCUUAAGAGUCUGGCCUGUGACCCGGAGGGAGCUCCUCCACACCCGUGGCCGCGCUCACCGGAGAGGGAGCGGCGCGCUGCCUGGGGGGUGGAAGGUCGUGGGGUGACACGGCCGGCAAACACAAGUGUCCAGGCCGUGGGAGCCGCAAUAAUACUCACACUAACUUUAAUAAUUAAAAUCCCGUCUGACGAUUCUAACUUUACCCUGAGACCCACCAAGAGAACAGGGGAGGGAUGGUGGGGACGUAGGGAUGCCUGAAAUGUGCUCGAUGAGGGAGCAGGAGAGAGGAAGGACGAAGAUGUCCGAGGAGGGUCAUCCCUGGGAGAGGGGGUGCGCGGUUCAGCCUCCCUCCCCGCGGCCGUGGGCCCGGCCAGCAGAGGGCGCCGCGAACGCGCCGGCCGCCCUGGGUCUCGGGCAGCUCCGGUCCGAGCUCGUGUCUUCCUGAACUGCAGGCCUCCGCGCGCGCGGUCGCUGGGGAUGCGAUGCUGGUUAAUUUGGGGACGUGUCGCCGUUUGUAAUUGCUGGCCUGUGUCCCGAGUGGCAACCGUGGGUUUGCCUGUAAUCACCCCAGCAAUCAUGCAUUCAGUUAACACUGCUGAGCACCCCGGCUCGUGUCAAGCGCUGUACUGGGAGUAAAGUGGCAAGCUAGGAGCAUGCCCUGAUAACCAACACCCGGGUCACGUGAUCCAGGUGACAGAGGCCAGCUCAGGCUGCUGGGGGAGCACCGAGGAGGGGUCAAGCACUUCUCACUACCAUCCCUCUCACAUGCACCAACCCUGGGGUGAGCAGGGUUAUGCUUUUUUAACAGAGGAGAGAAUCGGUUCAGAGAGGUUAAGUCACCUGCCCAAGGCCACACAUUCAGUAAGGGGAUGAGCUGGGAUUUGCCCCCAGAACCUGGUUCCAGAGUGCCCUCCCACCUGCCCGGUGAGACUGCCUCUGCCAGGGAGCAGCCAGUGAGGCUGCGAUGGCAUGAGGGCCUGCCCUGGGGUCAAGGAGGCGACUCCACCGGGACAGGAGCCUGUGGAAAGGGGAGGUUACAGGGCAGCUGAUUUCAUCUCAGAAUGAGGAAGAACUUUCCAGUAAUCAGAGUUGCCCAGUCAUAGAAUGGAGGAGUCCAAGGACAACAAGUGCCGUGUCUCUCCCCACACUUGGCAGUGGCUCCCUGCUGAGCCGGGGGCAUUCCCCCAGUGCUGGAGGCUCUGUCUGGUACAGGCCCCUUCUCUCUCCGGCCUCGUCUUGCCCCCUCUGUGUUCUUGCCUCUCCGUCCUUCUUUCAGCAACUUGCUGGCAUACUGCUUGCCUCUGGGCCUUUGCACGUGCACACUCCCUCUUUGUCUGGGCCAACUCACCCAUUCUUCAGGCUGCUCAAGGCCUUCCCUCACUCCUAACAAGGUCAGGUGGCCUGUGUGCUGCUCAUUUGGGCUUCUCUGCUCCCCUAGAUGUGCCUGGUCGUGCCUUCCUGACAGUAUUGGGUGACAGCCUCUCCCUCUAGACUGUCAGCUCCGUGCAGCCGGGUUGGCAUUGCCUUGUUCUCUGGCAUCUCUCCAGCGUCCAGCAGGCCAGGGCUGUGCCUCACUCCGUGCUCAAGAAUUUUGUUGGAAAAAUGAGUGAAUGAUGAAUGAAGGCAAGAAAGAAUGAAGGAAGCGUGCAAAGCCAAAUGCCCGGGCAGGGGGACCGGGGUCAGCAGACCUGCAAGUUCCCUCCCGUCACCCUCUGGCUACAGCUGACGUUCUUUGCUCAACUCCCCAGGAAUUAGAGACUCAGGGCCACAGUCAACAAGCAUCAUUCAGCAUCUAACACGUGCCUGGCACCCGGCCAGGCACUGUCACGUCUGUUCUCACCCAUCAAAUCACGAACAGGGACGAGGGGAAACGUUUUCGGUGGACACGAGCUUGAGGCUUCCAUCCCUGCCUGGAAGGGUUUGCGCGUUGGUCUCGGCCACUGCCACCCCGGGCUGCACCGGCCCUGCCCUGUCUCUCGGGCCCCACCCGUCCUGGGCUCCCGGCUGCGUUUCCGGAGAAGGCCAGCAGGUGACGGCAGAAGCUAAGAGUCGGGGCUCAGCGCGCGCCUGCCAGCCGCGGACCGCCGGCAGGGGGCGCGGCUGCUCCACCUGGUGCACAGGUGAUUUCGGUGGGUUUUACCGGCGGGACGAGGCAGCCGGAGCAGCCCGGCCAGGAGUGGGGUGGGUCCAAGGCGCAGCAGGGGAGGAAGACUGCGUGGCACUCUCGUUCCUGCUCAUUUGUGCAGUGCGGUCUUAACCUCUACUUUAUAGGUAAACUUUCUUUGUAUUGGGCCAGAAGGUAAAUAUUUUAGGUUUUGCUGGCCAUAUGGUCUCUGUUGCAAAUACUCAACUGUGUCCUAGAAGUGGAAACAACCCAGGACAAAUGCGUGUGGCCGUGUUCCCAUGAGUCUUUAUUUGUGGGCGUGGAAAUUUGAGUUUCAUACAACUUUCAAGUGUCAUGAAAUAUUGCCCUUUUUUUACUUAAAAAAAAAACUACUUAAAAAGGUAACAAGCAUUCUUAGCCCUUGGGCAGGGGGACCCCUGAUCUAGAUGAAGUCCCAAACCGGGGCCUGGCGUAUGCUAAGCGCU
This 14897-nucleotide long non-coding RNA is filed under the name Equus caballus (horse). RNAcentral's name for it is "lncRNA (ENSECAG00000041848.2)". Lineage: Eukaryota; Metazoa; Chordata; Mammalia; Perissodactyla; Equidae. The record is from RNAcentral.